RNAcentral lists this ribosomal RNA (538 nucleotides) under uncultured bacterium. Its description in RNAcentral is "bacterial SSU rRNA". It matches the Rfam family "Bacterial small subunit ribosomal RNA", at positions 974 to 1509 of the family's 1533-position model. The record is from RNAcentral.
CCUGGCCUUGACAUACUAAGAACUUUCCAGAGAUGGGAUUGGUGCCUUCGGGAACUUAGAUACAGGUGCUGCAUGGCUGUCGUCAGCUCGUGUCGUGAGAUGUUGGGUUAAGUCCCGCAACGGGCGCAACCCUUUUCCUUAUUUGCCAGCGGGUAAUGCCGGGAACUUUAAGGAUACUGCCAGUGACAAACUGGAGGAAGGCGGGGACGACGUCAAGUCAUCAUGGCCCUUACGGCCAGGGCUACACACGUGCUACAAUGGUCGGUACAAAGGGGUUGCUACCUCGCGAGAGGAUGCUAAUCUCAAAAAGCCGAUCGUAGUCCGGAUCGCAGUCUGCAACUCGACUGCGUGAAGUCGGAAUCGCUAGUAAUCGCGGAUCAGAAUGCCGCGGUGAAUACGUUCCCGGGCCUUGUACACACCGCCCGUCACACCAUGGGAGUUUGUUGCACCAGAAGUAGGUAGUCUAACCGCAAGGAGGACGCUUACCACGGUGUGGCCGAUGACUGGGGUGAAGUCGUAACAAGGUAGGCGUAGAUGA